GAUAAACGCUAGCGGCAGGCUUAACACAUGCAAGUCGGGGGGCAGCAUAGAUUGUAGCAAUACAAUUGGUGGCGACCGGCGCACGGGUGCGUAACGCGUAUGCAACCUACCCGUCACAGGGGGAUAAUCCGGAGAAAUCUGGUCUAAUACCCCAUAACAUAUGGAUCGGCAUCGGUUCAUGUUGAAAUUUUCGGAGGUGACGGAUGGGCAUGCGUAGCAUUAGCUUGUUGGUGAGGUAACGGCUCACCAAGGCGACGAUGCUUAGGGGGACUGAGAGGUUUUCCCCCCACACUGGUACUGAGACACGGACCAGACUCCUACGGGAGGCAGCAGUGAGGAAUAUUGGUCAAUGGGCGCAACCCUGAACCAGCCAUGCCGCGUGCAGGAAGACGGCUCUAUGAGUUGUAAACUGCUUUUAAACAGGGAUAAAGCACAGUAUGUAUACUGUGUUGAAGGUACUGUAAGAAUAAGGAUCGGCUAGCUCCGUGCCAGCCGCCGCAGUAA
This 504-nucleotide ribosomal RNA is filed under the name uncultured bacterium. RNAcentral's name for it is "partial 16S ribosomal RNA". It matches the Rfam family "Bacterial small subunit ribosomal RNA", at positions 28 to 523 of the family's 1533-position model. The record is from RNAcentral.